GUAGGUGAACCUGCGGAAGGAUCAUUACAAAUUAGUUGUGGAUUUUGGGUGGUGUAAAGUGUGAUUUGUGACGCGACGUGUGAAGUGUGGUAUUUCGAUAUUACAUUACACACAUGCAUACAUUAAUUACAUUACUUGCACUACUCAUUGUCCAUUAUAGCCCACUCCUGAAAGGGAGAUGGACGCGCUAGUGCUAGUUCGCUGGCGCAAAUAGACCUUAAAUCAUGACUUAUUCCAAAAAGAAAAUAACCAAAACUUUUAACAAUGGAUCUCUUGGCUCUU
RNAcentral lists this unclassified non-coding RNA (282 nucleotides) under rhizosphere metagenome. Its description in RNAcentral is "partial ribosomal RNA internal transcribed spacer region". The record is from RNAcentral.